AGUGAACGCUGGCGGUAGGCCUAACACAUGCAAGUCGAACGGCAGCACAGUAAGAGCUUUCUCUUACGGUUGGCGAGUGGCGGACGGGUGAGGCAUACAUCGGAAUCUACUUUUUCUUGGGUGAUAACGUAGGGAAACUUACGCUAAUACCUCAUACGACCUACGGGUGAAAUCAGGGGAUCUUCGGACCUUGCGCGUUUGAAUGAGCCGAUGUCGGAUUAGCUAGUUGGCGGGGUAAAGGCCCACCAAGGCGACGAUCCGUAGCUGGUCUGAGAGGAUGAUCAGCCACACUGGAACUGAGACACGGUCCAGACUCCUACGGGAGGCAGCAGUGGGGAAUAUUGGACAAUGGGCGCAAGCCUGAUCCAGCCAUACCGCGUGGGUGAAGAAGGCCUUCGGGUUGUAAAGCCCUUUUGUUGGGAAAGAAAAGAAGCAGGUGAAUACCCCGCUGUUCUGACGGUACCCAAAGAAUAAGCACCGGCUAACUUCGUG
This 492-nucleotide ribosomal RNA is filed under the name uncultured bacterium. RNAcentral describes it as "partial 16S ribosomal RNA". It matches the Rfam family "Bacterial small subunit ribosomal RNA", at positions 29 to 507 of the family's 1533-position model. The record is from RNAcentral.